GACGAACGCUGGCGGCGCGCCUAACACAUGCAAGUCGAACGGAGUUGUGUUGAAAGCUUGCUGGAUAUACAACUUAGUGGCGGACGGGUGAGUAACACGUGAGUAACCUGCCUCUCAGAGUGGAAUAACGUUUGGAAACGAACGCUAAUACCGCAUAACGUGAGAAGAGGGCAUCCUCUUUUUACCAAAGAUUUAUCGCUGAAAGAUGGGCUCGCGUCUGAUUAGCUAGUUGGUGGGGUAACGGCCUACCAAGGCGACGAUCAGUAGCCGGACUGAGAGGUUGAACGGCCACAUUGGGACUGAGAUACGGCCCAG
RNAcentral lists this ribosomal RNA (315 nucleotides) under uncultured bacterium. Its description in RNAcentral is "bacterial SSU rRNA". It matches the Rfam family "Bacterial small subunit ribosomal RNA", at positions 28 to 334 of the family's 1533-position model. The record is from RNAcentral.